RNAcentral lists this transfer RNA (89 nucleotides) under Citricoccus zhacaiensis. Its description in RNAcentral is "tRNA-Ala". Lineage: Bacteria; Bacillati; Actinomycetota; Actinomycetes; Micrococcales; Micrococcaceae. The record is from RNAcentral.
GGCAUUGUCCCGGAUGAGGGACUGGGGCAGGUCCGCACCCUGCCAAUAGAUCGAGACGGUUCCGACGGGGUCGUUCCCGUCGAUGUUCC